AAGACUAUAGACCUGCGGAGUACCUGCGGAAGGAUCAUUAUCGUAUUGUAACAAUUGGGGGGGCCACCGUGGGCUGUCGCUGACCCUUUGAAAGGGGGGUCGUGCACGCCCCCAUAGUGUCAUCCUCAUACAAUCCAACUCACCUCUGUGCAUCACCGCGUGGGUUCCUUUCUGGGUCGAGUCAGACUGGCUCAGAAAAAAGGGGCUUGCGUUUCCAUACAAAUACCCUUAUAAAUCCAG
RNAcentral lists this unclassified non-coding RNA (240 nucleotides) under soil metagenome. RNAcentral's name for it is "partial contains 5.8S ribosomal RNA, internal transcribed spacer 2, and large subunit ribosomal RNA". The record is from RNAcentral.